This is a long non-coding RNA of Bacillus rossius redtenbacheri, 827 nucleotides long. RefSeq lists it as uncharacterized. The record is from RefSeq and is a predicted model, not a curated record. NCBI's taxonomy places the organism in Eukaryota, Metazoa, Arthropoda, Insecta, Phasmatodea, Bacillidae. The transcript is spliced from 2 exons.
UUUCCGCACAUUUAUUCUGCCGGGAAGUGUCUCCCUCGCGCGGCGUAUUCUUCAGCCGGCGACUGGAGCCGAGGAGUGGGGCUAGCGGCUGCUGUGAAGGCAGCGGAGGGGAAGUUCGUCUGACGGCUGCUCGGUCGCCUUAUCAGCGCGUCGGGGUAUCGGAUAUCGCGAUAAGCAUAUGUGUCUACAGCUGAGGCCGCCUGGUCGGGAAGUAAUAAAUUCUAGGAUUCAGGAAGUUAUUCCCAGAGCAAACCUCAACCAUUCUACGCCCACCACAUCGCGCGGCGAGAAGACUCAGUAAGGCAUAUUCGGAGCCAAGUGGAGGUUAUCUGUAAGCGAAAAAAGUUGAGCGACUGUUAUUUUUACCCCUUGUUGAAUCGAUAUUUGACUUUGUAACAGCAUCGAGAAAUACUAUUAUAUGCACGAUUUCUUUUUCAAGAAUGGAUGAGAAGAGAAACUGGAGAAAAGGAAAGAAGAAUCAUCUUUAUAUUUCUGCAACAAGAAAGAAAAAUAAAGCUACUCAUCUCAAAGCAUACUGGAGUCAAAGGAAAAAAACUAUACCUAAACAAAACAAUGUCAAUGAAGAAUUGGAAAACCAGAGCCUAUCAAGAAUUCACUGCAGCCAUCAAGCACUGAUUGAAAACGAAAUAACUUCCGGAGUGCAUGAAGAAAGCUAUCCGGCAAAGUGAGUAACUGUUUACAUUUUAUUUAAAACAAAUCUAAGUUAUUCCCAAACGGUGGGUCGCGGAAGGGUUACAGGUGGGUCGCGACUCAAUCCUAUAACUAUCAGAAACCAUCGAAUAAACAACCAGAAAAAAUAAGAAAAA